ACGGAGGAUGCAAGCGUUAUCCGGAUUCAUUAGGUAUAAAGGGUGCGUAGGCGGAUUUGUAAGUCAGUGGUGAAAUACUAUAGCUUAACUAUAGAACUGCCAUUGAUACUGCAAGUCUUGAGUACAAUUGAGGUAGGCGGAAUGUGUGGUGUAGCGGUGAAAUGCUUAGAUAUGACGCAGAACACCGAUUGCGAAGGCAGCUUACUAAGCUAUAACUGACGCUGAUGCACGAAAGCAUGGGGAGCAAACAG
RNAcentral lists this ribosomal RNA (251 nucleotides) under uncultured prokaryote. Its description in RNAcentral is "partial 16S rRNA". It matches the Rfam family "Bacterial small subunit ribosomal RNA", at positions 525 to 775 of the family's 1533-position model. The record is from RNAcentral.